GAUGAACGCUGGCGGCGUGCCUAAUACAUGCAAGUCGAACGCUGGAAAUCUAGCUUGCUAGAUUGAAGGAGUGGCGAACGGGUGAGUAAUACAUAAGCAACCUACCCACGAAGACUGGGAUAAUCUCUGGAAACGGGGACUAAUACCGGAUAGGUAAUCGGAAGGCAUCUUCUGAUUAUUAAAGGUUAAAAACACUGGUGGAUGGGCUUAUGGCGCAUUAGUUAGUUGGUGAGGUAACGGCCCACCAAGACGAUGAUGCGUAGCCGGCCUGAGAGGGUGAACGGCCAAAUUGGGACGGAGACACGGCCAAGACUCCUACGGGAGGAAGCAGUAGGGAAGUUUCGGCAAUGGGGGAAACCCUGACCGAGCAACGCCGCGUGAGUGAUGACGGCCUUCGGGGUGUAAAGCUCUGUUGUAAGGGAAGAACGGUAGAUAGAGAAUAUCUAAAUGACGGUACCUUACCAGAAAGCCACGGCUAACUACGUG
Molecule: ribosomal RNA, 486 nt
Filed under: uncultured bacterium
Lineage: Bacteria
Description: partial 16S ribosomal RNA
Rfam family: Bacterial small subunit ribosomal RNA
Source: RNAcentral